GGAAAAAUUGUAUCUUCUCUUCUUCCUCCCAUCCCUUCCCCAACCUACCCAGCCCCACCAUUAAAGCAAUGCCCAUCAAUACCAAACGAGUUUCUGUGUCCAAUAUCUGGUGCUUUAAUGGUGGAUCCUGUUAUAGUAUCCUCCGGACACACUUUUGAACGGAAUUGCGUUCAUGCUUGCGUUUCACUCUCCUUUAAACCCAAAUUUGCAGAUGGUUCCAACUCCGAUUUCUGCACCAUCAUAACCAAUCUCGCCCUUAAGUCCACCAUCUUCAAUUGGUGCUGGACCCAUCUCAUCGACACACCUAAACCCAUUGAUUUCUACUCAGCCGAAAAACCCGUCGUUACACCACAAUAGUGCAGAGGCUGGUACUAAGUUGACUCGGACACCAAGUCAGCUGUCAGUAAUUAGUUCGGAAGAAUUGGUGACGCCCAGAAACGGGUUCCCCACUCCCUUGCCGUUGAAGACUUGACCCACUUGUUAUUCAUCAUCCUCUUCCUCAGAUAUGGAAAUCUGAAAUUCUCACUCACAGGAAGAUGAAGAAUUCAUUAUGAAACAGAGAAGUUGUGAGGUUUCUGAACAAAAAGAGGCUUUAAUUUCACUUCGAAAACUGACUCACACCAAGGAGUAAACCCGACUCUAUCUUUGUACUCAGUCCUCAGAUCAUUCAUCACCUCGAGAUAUUCAACGUUGCAAGUGAAUGCAGUGGCAGUGUUGGUGAAUCUGUCUCUGGAGAAACAAAACAAUGUGAAGAUCGUACGGUUUGGGAUUGUUCCACCGGUGAUUGAU
This 789-nucleotide long non-coding RNA is filed under the name Olea europaea subsp. europaea. Lineage: Eukaryota; Viridiplantae; Streptophyta; Magnoliopsida; Lamiales; Oleaceae. The record is from RNAcentral.